Molecule: long non-coding RNA, 304 nt
Organism: Rhinopithecus roxellana (golden snub-nosed monkey)
Lineage: Eukaryota; Metazoa; Chordata; Mammalia; Primates; Cercopithecidae
Exons: 3
Source: RefSeq, a predicted model, not a curated record
CGAAACCAGGAUAGACACAAGUGGUCUCCUGACAAGUCAGAUGACAACCUCCAGUGACAUAAAAGAAACUGUGAAUGAAACAUCACACCAGUCACCUGGUUAUGUGUGUGAAGCUCUUCAACUAGAGGAAAUCAGGUGCUGGCCAAAGAGACAGAGGUGAAGGCGCCUCCGGGGGACUGCUGAUAUUGCUUCAACUAAGGCAGAGUCACGAUGCCCAUGUGCACCAGCCAGUUGGAUACUCUCAGCUGGGACCCCAUCAUCAACAGAUAAAGAGCAACUGAUGCUGACCAAAAAGAUGGGGACA